This is a long non-coding RNA of Beta vulgaris subsp. vulgaris (sugar beet), 220 nucleotides long. RefSeq lists it as uncharacterized. The transcript has 3 exons. NCBI's taxonomy places the organism in Eukaryota, Viridiplantae, Streptophyta, Magnoliopsida, Caryophyllales, Amaranthaceae. The record is from RefSeq and is a predicted model, not a curated record.
UGCUUUUAGGAGGUUUCGGAUGAGCGGCCACAAAGUUCGUCGAGAGAAGCUUUUGUGGAAAUAUGUUGAGUGCCCGCAACAACAAGGAGGCACGGAGUGCGGUUAUUUUGUGAUGCGGUACAUUUUUGACGUACUCGCUUCAUAUUUUGGUUCGUUGGAUAUGGACAAAGUUGCUCAAACCUUUACCAAAGAUCCUUAUACGGAGGAUCAAAUCAAUGAG